Molecule: ribosomal RNA, 165 nt
Filed under: uncultured bacterium
Lineage: Bacteria
Description: partial 16S ribosomal RNA
Rfam family: Bacterial small subunit ribosomal RNA
Source: RNAcentral
CUAGUAAUGGCAGGUCAGCAUACUGCCGUGAAUACGUUCCCGGGCCGUUGUACACACCGCCCGUCACACCAUGAGAGUUGGGAAUACCCGAAGCCUGUGAGCCAACAAACGAGGCAGCAGUCGAAGGUAGAAUCAAUGAUUGGGGUGAAGUCGUAACAAGGUAAC